CCAAUAGCGUAUAUUAAAGUUGUUGCAGUUAAAAAGCUCGUAGUUGAAUUUCGGGAUCAAUUUAUUGGUCGUACCUUUGGUACGUACUGAUUUUAUUGGUUUCUCCCUUCUGACGAACUAUGAUGUCAUUAAUUUGGUGUCAUGGGGAAUCAGGACUGUUACUUUGAAAAAAUUAGAGUGUUUAAAGCAGGCUCACGCUUGAAUACAUUAGCAUGGAAUAAUGAAAUAGGACGGUUAAUUCUAUUUUGUUGGUUUCUAGGAUUGACGUAAUGAUUAAUAGGGAGAGUUGGGGGCAUUAGUAUUCAAUUGUCAGAGGUGAAAUUCUUGGAUUUAUUGAAGACUAACUACUGCGAAAGCAUUUGCCAAGGAUGUUUUCAUUAAUCAAGAACGAAAGUUAGGGGAUCGAAGACGAUCAGAUACCGUCGUAGUCUUAACCAUAAACUAUGCCGACUAGGGAUCGGAUGAUGUUGAUUUUUUAAUGACUCAUUCGGCGCCUUACG
RNAcentral lists this ribosomal RNA (500 nucleotides) under uncultured Glomeromycotina. RNAcentral's name for it is "partial small subunit ribosomal RNA". It matches the Rfam family "Eukaryotic small subunit ribosomal RNA", at positions 591 to 1092 of the family's 1831-position model. Lineage: Eukaryota; Fungi; Glomeromycota. The record is from RNAcentral.